RNAcentral lists this long non-coding RNA (221 nucleotides) under Nicotiana benthamiana. RNAcentral's name for it is "long non-coding RNA (NBEN_LNC017024)". The record is from RNAcentral. Lineage: Eukaryota; Viridiplantae; Streptophyta; Magnoliopsida; Solanales; Solanaceae.
UUUGCUUCUUUUGUUCCUUUUCCUCCUCCUUAAAACAUUUAUAGUCUACUUUGUUUUGUGACCUCUUUUAAAAUAGAUGGAUUUGUAAUUUAUUAUUUUAUUGAUUCAUGUAUCCUCCUUAAUAGAGGUAGGCUUGUCUAAUCCUCAGAAACAUUUCACAUUGCUGAAAUAGUUUCUUAGGAUAGAUCCAAGCACGACUCAAGCCAGUUGGUAUAUUUCCG